Molecule: ribosomal RNA, 253 nt
Filed under: uncultured bacterium
Lineage: Bacteria
Description: partial 16S ribosomal RNA
Rfam family: Bacterial small subunit ribosomal RNA
Source: RNAcentral
UACAGAGGUCUCAAGCGUUGUUCGGAUUCAUUGGGCGUAAAGGGUGCGUAGGCGGCCAGGUAAGUCAGGAGUGAAAGUUUGCGGCUCAACCGUAAAAUUGCUUUUGAUACUGCCAGGCUAGAAUUAGGAUGAGGUCAGCGGAAUGUGGCAUGUAGCGGUGAAAUGCAUAGAUAUGCCAUAGAACACCAAUUGCGAAGGCAGCUGGCUAGACCUGGAUUGACGCUGAGGCACGAAAGCGUGGGGAGCGAACAGG